RNAcentral lists this ribosomal RNA (491 nucleotides) under uncultured bacterium. RNAcentral's name for it is "bacterial SSU rRNA". It matches the Rfam family "Bacterial small subunit ribosomal RNA", at positions 29 to 507 of the family's 1533-position model. The record is from RNAcentral.
AGUGAACGCUGGCGGCAGGCCUAAUACAUGCAAGUCGAACGGCAGCACAGCAGAGCUUGCUCUGUGGGGUGGCGAGUGGCGGACGGGUGAGGAAUACAUGGGAAUCUGCCCAGUCGUGGGGGAUAACGUAGGGAAACUUACGCUAAUACCGCAUGCGCCCUUCGGGGGAAAGCCGGGGACCUUCGGGCCUGGCGCGAUUGGAUGAGCCCAUGUCGGAUUAGCUAGUUGGCGGGGUAAUGGCCCACCAAGGCGACGAUCCGUAGCUGGUCUGAGAGGAUGAUCAGCCACACUGGAACUGAGACACGGUCCAGACUCCUACGGGAGGCAGCAGUAGGGAAUAUUGGACAAUGGGCGCAAGCCUGAUCCAGCCAUGCCGCGUGAGUGAAGAAGGCCCUCGGGUUGUAAAGCUCUUUUGUCCGGAAAGAAAAGCGCCGGGUUAAUACCCCGGUGUCCUGACGGUACCGGAAGAAUAAGCACCGGCUAACUUCGUG